GACCAGACUCCUACGGGAGGCAGCAGUGGGGGAUAUUGCACAAUGGGGGAAACCCUGAUGCAGCGACGCCGCGUGUGGGAAGACGGUCCUCUGGAUUGUAAACCACUGUCCCCAGGGACGAAUAUGACGGUACCUGGGGAGGAAGCUCCGGCUAACUACGUGCCAGCAGCCGCGGUAAUACGGAGGAUGCGAGCGUUAUCCGGAUUUAUUGGGUUUAAAGGGUGCGUAGGCGGGCAUUUAAGCCGGCGGUCAAAUGUCGGGGCUCAACCCCGGCCUGCCGUCGGAACUGGGUGCCUUGAGUGGGCGAGAAGUAUGCGGAAUGCGUGGUGUAGCGGUGAAAUGCAUAGAUAUCACGCAGAACCCCGAUUGCGAAGGCAGCAUACCGGCGCCCUACUGACGCUGAGGCACGAAAGUGCGGGUAUCGAACAGGAUUAGAUACCCCUGUA
RNAcentral lists this ribosomal RNA (446 nucleotides) under uncultured bacterium. Its description in RNAcentral is "bacterial SSU rRNA". It matches the Rfam family "Bacterial small subunit ribosomal RNA", at positions 329 to 792 of the family's 1533-position model. The record is from RNAcentral.